RNAcentral lists this ribosomal RNA (254 nucleotides) under uncultured bacterium. Its description in RNAcentral is "partial 16S ribosomal RNA". It matches the Rfam family "Bacterial small subunit ribosomal RNA", at positions 524 to 776 of the family's 1533-position model. The record is from RNAcentral.
UACGUAGGGGGCAAGCGUUGUCCGGAAUUAUUGGGCGUAAAGAGCUCGUAGGCGGUUUGUCGCGUCUGCUGUGAAAACCCGAGGCUCAACCUCGGGUCUGCAGUCGAUACGAGCAAACUAGAGUGUUGCAGGGGAGACUGGAAUUCCUGGUGUAGCGGUGAAAUGCGCAGAUAUCAGGAGGAACACCGGUGGCGAAGGCGGGUCUCUGGGCCGAUACUGACGCUGAGGAGCGAAAGCGUGGGGGAGCGAACAGG